UACCAGCUCCUCGAGUGGUCAGGGCGUUUAUUGGGCCUAAAGCAUCCGUAGCCGGCUCAGUAGGUCUUCUGUUAAAUCCAACGGCUCAACCGUUGACUUGCAGGAGAUACCACUGGGCUAGGAGGCGGGAGAGGCGGACGGUACUCCGAGGGUAGGGGUAAAAUCCUUUGAUCCCCGGAAGACCACCAGUGGCGAGGGCGGUCCGCCAGAACGCGCUCGACGGUGAGGGAUGAAAGCUGGGGGAG
RNAcentral lists this ribosomal RNA (245 nucleotides) under uncultured archaeon. RNAcentral describes it as "partial 16S ribosomal RNA". It matches the Rfam family "Archaeal small subunit ribosomal RNA", at positions 474 to 719 of the family's 1478-position model. The record is from RNAcentral.